RNAcentral lists this ribosomal RNA (472 nucleotides) under uncultured bacterium. RNAcentral describes it as "bacterial SSU rRNA". It matches the Rfam family "Bacterial small subunit ribosomal RNA", at positions 917 to 1382 of the family's 1533-position model. The record is from RNAcentral.
GGGCCCGCACAAGCAGUGGAGCGUGUGGUUUAAUUCGACGCAACGCGCAGAACCUUACCAGGGCUUGACAUCGUGGUGACAGCCGAAGAAACUCGGUCUUCCGUAGCAAUACGGACGCCAUGACAGGUGUUGCAUGGUUGUCGUCAGCUCGUGUCGUGAGAUGUUGGGUUAAGUCCCGCAACGAGCGCAACCCCUAUUCAGUGUUGCAAACAGGUAAAGCUGUGCACUCACUGGAGACUGCCGGAGACGAUCCGGAGGAAGGUGGGGAUGACGUCAAAUCAUCAUGGCCCUUAUGCCCUGGGCCACACACGCGCUACAAUGGCCGGUACAACGGGCAGCAAUAGAGCGAUCUGGAGCGAAUCCCUUAAAGCCGGUCUCAGUUGGAAUCGGGGGCUGAAACUCGUCCCCGUGAACAUGGAAUUGCUAGUAAUCGCGGAUCAGCCACGCCGCGGUGAAUACGUUCCCGGGCCUU